This 505-nucleotide ribosomal RNA is filed under the name uncultured bacterium. RNAcentral's name for it is "partial 16S ribosomal RNA". It matches the Rfam family "Bacterial small subunit ribosomal RNA", at positions 28 to 507 of the family's 1533-position model. The record is from RNAcentral.
GACGAACGCUGGCGGCGUGCCUAAUACAUGCAAGUAGAACGCACAGUUUAUACCGUAGCUUGCUACACCAUAGACUGUGAGUUGCGAACGGGUGAGUAACGCGUAGGUAACCUGCCUGGUAGCGGGGGAUAACUAUUGGAAACGAUAGCUAAUACCGCAUAAUAUUGAUUAUUGCAUGAUAAUUGAUUGAAAGAUGCUAUUGCAUCACUACCAGAUGGACCUGCGUUGUAUUAGCUAGUAGGUGAGGUAACGGCUCACCUAGGCGACGAUACAUAGCCGACCUGAGAGGGUGAUCGGCCACACUGGGACUGAGACACGGCCCAGACUCCUACGGGAGGCAGCAGUAGGGAAUCUUCGGCAAUGGACGAAAGUCUGACCGAGCAACGCCGCGUGAGUGAAGAAGGUUUUCGGAUCGUAAAGCUCGGUUGUAAGAGAAGAACGGGUGUGAGAGUGGAAAGUUCACACUGUGACGGUAUCUUACCAGAAAGGGACGGCUAACGACGUG